AAGAGCUGAGGGGACACGUGUGAAGGUUGAGUGUUGAAGAGCUGAGGGGACACGUGUGAAGGUUGAGUGUUGAAGAGCUGAGGGGACACGUGUGAAGGUUGAGUGUUGAAGAGCUGAGGGGACACGUGUGCAGGUUGAGUGUUGAAGAGCUGAGGGGACACGUGUGCAGGUUGAGUGUUGAAGAGCUGAGGGGACACGUGUGCAGGUUGAGUGUUGAAGAGCUGAGGGGACACGUGUGCAGGUUGAGUGUUGAAGAGCUGAGGGGACACGUGUGCAGGUUGAGUGUUGAAGAGCUGAGGGGACACGUGUGCAGGUUGAGUGUUGAAGAGCUGAGGGGACACGUGUGCAGGUUGAGUGUUGAAGAGCUGAGGGGACACGUGUGCAGGUUGAGUGUUGAAGAGCUGAGGGGACACGUGUGCAGGUUGAGUGUUGAAGAGCUGAGGGGACACGUGUGCAGGUUGAGUGUUGAAGAGCUGAGGGGACACGUGUGCAGGUUGAGUGUUGAAGAGCUGAGGGGACACGUGUGCAGGUUGAGUGUUGAAGAGCUGAGGGGACACGUGUGCAGGUUGAGUGUUGAAGAGCUGAGGGGACACGUGUGAAGGUUGAGUGUUGAAGAGCUGAGGGGACAUGUGCGAAGGCCUCGUCACCCAUGCUGCACAGAUUUGCGGCUGGUGUUAGCAGGCUGUUUGACUGACUGUAGUGGGUGUACUGGGGAGUAGCUCUCCAGAAUUUGGCAUACGUAUGUUGGUGCAAUAGGUUUUAUAUAGAGCUCAUAAAAGAACCCAAAGUCGCUGAGGAUGGCAAUUGACAAUACCAUUUCAUAACGUCUUACUAAAAUAUGCUAAUAAGCCUAAUUUGUUCUGCCCAAUUUCCUAAGUGUAAUUAAAAUGAUAAUUGGUGGUGAUUAUCUAAUUUGCCUCAAUUCUCAUCAGUUUGUCUUUUUGAAAAAAACUUUCCAAUCCGAGCCUUCUGGCACAGCAGUCAAAUUACGCAACAGACCGGUCUGAUGUUAUUAUGCUACUCAUUUCCACUAGCCUGGUCCCAGAUCAGUUUUAAAAUUACCUUAGGAGUUGAAAUGACAAAAUAAAAACAAAAAUCAGGGUCCAGGAUACUAUUCCACUGAUUAUUAGAAAGAGAAAGAGAGCAAUAGUCUCCUUUUCUUUCUCCUAUCGGUGACAGUAACAACCUAGCCAGCAACAUUGUUGUCACAGUUUUUUUUCUUUUUCACAGAACUUUUGUUAUUCUUAAAGCAGAUCUUUGAGACACGUGAUUUUGUCUCUGAGCGUUGGGCAGUGAGUGAAGCAGGCCAAGCUGUGUGACGUC
This is a long non-coding RNA of Oncorhynchus keta (chum salmon), 1323 nucleotides long. RefSeq lists it as uncharacterized. The record is from RefSeq and is a predicted model, not a curated record. Lineage: Eukaryota; Metazoa; Chordata; Actinopteri; Salmoniformes; Salmonidae. The transcript is spliced from 4 exons.